CAGUAUGGGUUGAUUAUUUUUUUACAUAACAGAAAGUCCAGAGGUGAAUGUUUUUUAUUUCUUUUAGGCAUUCAAUCACGUUAUCCAGGACCAGAUUUCCUUCAGCCUGUAAUCUCUGCCAUGCACAGCAGAUAAAUAAGGCUGAAGAGACACCAGCAUUUGGUUGA
Molecule: long non-coding RNA, 167 nt
Filed under: Mustela putorius furo (domestic ferret)
Lineage: Eukaryota; Metazoa; Chordata; Mammalia; Carnivora; Mustelidae
Description: lncRNA (ENSMPUG00000026122.1)
Source: RNAcentral